ACUAAAAUGUUUUUAAGAUCUCAAUUCAUAAUUAAGAGUUACAAGUUUUUCUUUCGAAAAUCAAAUAUAAUUAAAAUUUCAGAUAUCAAUAAUAUUAUUAUAAAAAUUAUUUUACAUAUCUAUCCACUGCCAUCUACCCUCUCAAACCCUAAUUAUUUUCUAGUAUCUUCUUUCUCUUUCUAUACAACUAACCCCUUAGCCGACACCACCAUUGUUCUCUCUCUCUCAUAUCGAUGCCACCAUCAUUCGCAAACACAGAGAAGCACUCCGGUCUCUCUCUCCACGACUCCACCACAUGAAAAGCCACUGCAUCAACAUGACCAUUGAUCUCCUGACUCUCUCUUCACAGCAAUCGUUGCGCAUGACAGCAAGGCGCUGCAGAUCAUUGGGGUGUUGUAGAUUGGAGUCGGAGAAGAGAAGGGAUACUUGUUGGUUGUGGCGACCAUAGUGCAAGUGAAUCUAUGAGAUUUGGUCGGUAGGAUUUUAUUGGUUUUUGAGGUGUUUUUUGUUGGUGGUGGUGGUGGUGUAGGUCAGUAGGUGGAUCUGGCGAUGUUGGCGAUGGAUUUUGAUGAUGCUGAAGUGGUGUUUUGGUGGAUCUAGCGCUAUCAACAAUGGUGAGGCGGUGAUCGCAAAGGGUUGUGAUGCAGGUAGUGUUAAUGUUGGUUGGUGGCAUCGUGGUAUUUGUGGAGGAGGCGCGGUGGAGUGGAAUGAAAAGUUUUUGUGACCAACAAAUUGGUUGAUCGUGACCAACAAGGGACCAAUAAAUAAUAUGUAAUAUAAAAAAAUGUGAUUGUGAUUCACAAUUUAUUAAGUUAUGUCUGAUAAAUAAUUUGUGAUCAAUUAAUUUGAUAAUUUAUAAUCGUUAAAUAAAUUGUAACUUAAAAAAAUUGUGAUUUUUGACUGUUAAAUGAAUUGUGAUCUAUAGAAUUUUUUAUUUUGUGAUCGAUGAAUAAAUUGUGACUUCUAAAAUUUUUAAUUUGUGAUCGAAAAAUAAUUUGUGGUCUAUAAAUUUUUUUAUCUAUGAUCGAUAAAUAAUUUAUAAUCAAUUAAUUCGAUAAUUUGUUACCAAACUGUAUAGAACUAUGACCUUAAUAUAUCUAAUUAAUUAAAUAUAUUUUUAAUUCAUUAUUUCAUAAAUAAAACUUAAAAAUAUCUGAUUUUUAAAGCUUAAAACCCUUUUUCUUAAUUUUGAAAUAAAUCUGGCUUGGGCUUGUCUAUUGUCAUUGGUUCCUUGUUUUAAGAGAAAAUUAGGCUUAUUCAUGUAUUUGUUCUCAAAAUUGAACAAUCAAGUAUUUCAUAGAGUGUUUACUGUAUCUCCAAAGAACUCUCUAUUUUAAAGAGUAUAUUCUAUUAUUUGGAGAGGAUUUAUAAAUUUAGAGAGUUAAAAUUUUGAAUUAUUUCAACAAACUCUUUAUAUUUACCAGUUAAUUUUACUACUCCCAAAAAAUGUUUAUUAUUUUUCUCUAUCUUUUAUUUUAACUAACUUUUCUCUAGAUUAUUUUAUUAUUUUUCUACAUUAAAAAUUGAAACAAUUUUACUGCAUUUAAUUAUGGAGAGAGAGUUUGGCUCUGCAAAUUUGGAUAAUUAAACUCAUUCUUUAAAUUAAAAUGAUAAUUUAAAAAGCCUAUUGAAGCAUGAUUUUAAGAAUUGACACUUAAAAUAGAGAGUAUCUCUCAUGUUUAAAAAAUUUCUUUUAGAUUUUCUUAUAUUAUAAGAUGUUGUUUAAAGUUUAUCAACUUUUUAAUUGGUCAAUUUCAAUUUUAACAAUACAUUUAUGAUAUUCACGAUAUUUAUCAGUUUUUCAAUCAUACAUUUUAUCAAUUUUUAUUAAAAUAUUUUAAAACUUUUAUCAAAAGUUUUGACAAAUAGCCAUAUAAAUGUACUUCUCAAAGUACCUCAACUAACUUUUCCUUCCUCCCCCAUGCAUUUUGUGUUGAUUACACACCCCCACCAUCUCCAAUCCUUCUUCUCUUACCACUUCCUCUUUCCAUAGAUUAAGCACAAUCACCACCACCUAUUACAACUUUCACCGUCGUCCCUGAUUAUCAUCACCUGGCCUAUACCUAUCUCACUAGAUUACAAAUCACCCAAAAAUGACCAAAUCCAAAUACGAAAAGUUAAAUCGAAAAUAACAAUAGGUCGAUGUGGUUGUAAGUCGGGCUUGAAGACCAUGACCAUGGUGGUCGAUGAGUUGAUAUUUGAUUUCAAAUGUGAUGUGACUCAUGGUGUUACGUCGACAGGGGCUUGAAGAUUGUAGAUAUAACACUAUGAAUGUGUGGAUUGACAACGACGCUAAGGUUUUGUUAGGUUUGGAUUGUAGAUUUAAGGUUUUUAUGUGGACCGGGUUCUUGUUUUGUAUGACGAGUAAGGAUGGAUGAGUUAGUGGUGGUCAAAUUUUUGGAUUAGUGGUGCUUUUUGAGACUAGAUAUGGCUAAGGCAAGGUGGUAGUGAUGAUGGAGAUGAUAUUGAGGUGGCAAAUUUGAUUACGAACCCGUACAAUUCAAAAUGGUGAUUUGUGGUGGUUAUUGGUUUCACUUGAUGAUUUAUGAUAAAAGGUGGUGGUGAGGAGUGGUGCAAAUAUGAUUACUUGGGAAGGUGGUGGCGGCGAUAAGUGGUGCAUGGAUUCAGGGGCGGAGCCACUAAUUGAAUUCUCUAUCCAGCCUAAAGAGAGAAGCCCAAUUGUGCAAUGUCAUGACCCGUUUUAGACCCAUUCAUAUCAAAAUUCAAUUGAAUCAAUUGUUGACCCAAACGCAUUCAUUGAUUUCAAAAUUUCUACCCUUCGUGACUUUGUUUGUGACGAUUUCGCACUUCGCCACCCACUUCCCUCUCCACCGGUGACAAAGCCCGCCAUUCCCUUCCCUCUCCUUCAACCGUCGUCUCCGACAGUCGUCACAGUACGACCAUCGUUCCCUUUCCCUCUUCGACAGUCCAUCAUUGUAUAUCUCCUACUCUAAACUCUCAUCUUGACAUCUCACAUCUCUGACUCCGACUCCGACUCUACAUCCUCAGCUCCACCAAGGCGCCAAGUGCCAAUGCCAACCAGCUGACCCGGCAAAAGAAGAAGCCAGAUUCUAGAAAGCAAAAGGCGAAGCCCCAAUUUUUUUUUAUUUUUUAUUUUUGGUUAUUUCAAUUAGUGUAAAUUGUAAUGAUAUUUGUUUUUUUUUCUUCUUUUCUUUUUUGUUUUUUUUUUUGUUUUUAACAUAUGAAAUUAGCACUUCGUUCUUUAAUUGUUCGAAGCGGCACAAACUUCUAGUGGACCACCAGUUCAUUAUUACCUCUAGGCUCUGGUUCUCUGGGAAUCUGUGAUUGCAAGUUCAAGUUGCCUAGUAUUUGGAAAUAGCAUAUAUUGCAUUAUGAAAUUGUGAAUUGGAGUAUUGAACAGUGAAUUGAUUAAGUGAACUUGUGAAUUGCACUAGACAAAUGGUAUAUAUAGGUAUUGGUGUAUUGCAUUGUGAAUUGAUUAUGUGAAAUUGUGAAUUGCACCGAGUUUUGUGAGUUGCUUCCAGUAUUUGUGAUUCAUUUGACAUCUCGAAUUACUCCCACUCCUAGUAGUAAUUGGGCGAUCAGUGGAUGAAUGAUAGCACAAUUGAUUAUGUGGAGAAAGAUAUAUUUUUGAGGCUCAAUAAUGAAGUUAUUAUACAACGAUAUCAAAGUAUGAAAACUCGCAAAGAACAAGUGUAAUAUAUAAAUUAUAUCGUUUUUAGUAUUGAUGUACUAUUGUUUUAUUUUUUUAUCGUCAUUAAAUCCAUGACCAAAACCUCGACAUUCGUCUUCGAAAAAAUUUUGCCCGCACUGAACUAAAAUCCUAACUCCGCCCCUGCAUGAAUUAAUAAGUUAUUAUAUAAAAAAAUUACACAUAUUGUAACAGUAAUGUAUGUAAAAUUGGCAUAUUGUAACAUGACUUAAAUGGAAAAUUGGCAAAGAAUUGGGAAGGUGGUGGCAAUGAUGACAUCGAUGGUGGUGGGUGGCUAAUAAGUUCAGUAUUUUAAUAAAAAAUACAGUAGCAUAGUAUAAAUUAACUUUUCAAAUAAAUUACAUAUAUUAUAAUAUGAUUUAAAUGUAAAAUAACAUAGAGUGUAGAAUCAAUAUAAUUUAAUAAAUUUAGGAUUUUCAAAUUACAAUGUAAAAAAGUUAUAUCAACAUAAAAAAAAAUUAAAUAAACUUUAACCAAAAAUAACAUAUUUGAAGAUACCUGAUUUUUUAAAAUACUUUUAUUGUAAUGUUGAAUAUUUAUUAAUACUAGUCAAAGUUCAAUGUUCAUUGCAUGUUAUUUUAAAAUAUUUUAUAAGUGCUGUAAAAUUAAUAUUUGAUACCAAUUUAUUGGAAGAUUUGAUGAGUUUCAGGCGAAUUAAUUAAUAGAGAAAUUUAAGAGAAGAAAAUUAUACUCUCAAGACUCAAUUUCAAUGAUUCAAUUUUUUUGUAGUGAUGAAAUACUAUAAAUGAGCAAUUUUUUAUAUUACAUUUGAUACAUAAAAAUUAAUUGUUGAUACAUAAAUUUAAAUACUCAUUAAAAAUUCUAGAUACAUGAAUAUGAAUCAAUUCAUCUAUAAUAACCAUAGAUUCAUGUAAUUCAAAAUUCAUUGAAUCUAAAUUAAUGUGAAUGUUAGUUAAUUGAGAAUUAAUAACACAAAUUUCAUAAACGACAAUAAUUAUGUAGUAUUUAUUACAUAUCGAAAAACAAAAAGUAGGGUAUUAUUGAAAUAAUUGAAUUGUAGAAAGGGUUAAAAUCGUCCAAAAAAUGAUCCUCCUUUAUGUGAUACUUUAAUAUAUUAUAGAUGGAAAAUUUUUGGUGUACAUUAUGAAUAACAUAAUCCAUAAUGCACACAUGGCGCUCCCUAUUGGAGGGGCGCCGGGUGACACUAUAAUGUACAUCAAGUCUAACCCAUUAUAGAUACUUGAUUUUAGAAAUUAGACCCCAAAUGUUCCUUAGUUAUAUAAUUAGCCCUUGUUUUUAGGAUAUUUCUCCUUGCACAGGGUCCUGUGCAAAUAGCACAGCCCUUGUUUUUAUGUAUAAGAGUGCUUGGGAUACUGGGGAAAAGCUGUACAGAAUUUUUACAAGGUGACGCAUCAUUUUCUUAUUGGAAGUUGGCAAAAAAUUAAAAAAAAAAUUGCAACCAUACAAGUAAUGCUAGCAUUACACCUGUAAACCCCUUAUACAAUUUUCUCUUGUACAAGGUGAAUAACCGUUUACAGAUACUUGGGGAAAAUAGAUGGCUUUAUACAAGCAAAUAACUUCUCCUGAAAAUUUUCAGUGAACUCCGAAAUCUAUAUAUGUAUCCGACAAAUUUACGAAACUUAUAGGUUCAUAUUAAAAUUUGCUCAGUCUUUCACCGGUGAUACGAGAAGACUCACUAACGCUCAUCAAGUAUGUCUCAACUACAAUUAGAGAUAUCAACAAGUCGAAUAGAGUCGAUUCGAGCCGGCUCGUCGAAUCUUGAGGCUCGAGCUCGGCUCGGGUAAAAUGUGAGAGCCUUUUUUGGGGCCUUUCUGAGUCGAGCGACCGAGCCGAGCAGGCUCGUCUUUUUCUUUGCUCUUUUUAAAUUUUUUUUUUCUUUUAAUUAAGAUGCCUUAAAAGGCAACACAAUGCUGCCUCCAAGUUCUCUUUUUCUUUUUCUUUUUUUCUCUUUUUUUAAUGGCUUGCGGGUCGGCUUGGGCUCGGCCAGUUCAUCCAAAUUGGGGCUCGGCUCGAGCUUAGGCUCAGUUCGUUCGAGCCUCAAGUCGGCUCGGCUCGGCUUGGACUUUUUCUGGGUCGAGCCACGAGCGACCCGAGCUGACAAGUCAAAUUGUCGUCCCUAACUACAAUAGGUUUAGCAACAAAAUCUCAAAUUCUAUGAGUUGAAAUUUGACUUAAGGAACAAUAAUUUCGUAACUUCCUUAUCCAACAACCAAAUGACAUACUAUUUGACCCUCAAGCCUCUAUCAUGCUCGAUAUAAUCUCAUUGCUAGUCUACCUCCUGCUAACAUGUAGAUUCAUUGUAACCAUAUAUAUUCAAUGAUUGGAGAGGAUGAUUGAACUAUGUAAAUACAUUAGUAUGCCAUACCAUUGUUGUUGACCUAUGGUUGACUUCUCGUUUUGAUUAUCACAAACAACUCACAUUUAUUUCUAACAAGUUUAUUUAAGUGUUGAUGGACAACGUGCAAACCAAAUUUUGAAAAGGCAAAGCGGUGAUCAAAUAAAAGAAAAUUCAAGGUGGUGAAGAAGUUUAUAAAAGCAUAAGUCUGGCAUGCACGUCAAGACAAAGAGCCAUAUUGAAGAUAAUAGACUUAGAACCUUUUAAUCUCAUAUGUAAAGGUAACAUGCUUCAAUAGUCUGGCAAUAUAUCAUAAAAAAGGCUCAAGUGUCGGCUUUAUACACAAAAAAAUUAUUAUUGCACCAAAAUACUUGCAAAAUAUUUAUUUCAAAAUAACGGAUUCGAUCUUAUACUAUGAAAUGAUAAUUUUCUUGAAAAAUCAUAUAUAAAAAUCUCUCAAAGUAUUGCCUUUAUCAAAAGAUCGGAGAAAAUUAUUUGCUACUGUAGCGGACAUUCGGUAGGUCUGGUGGACGUCCGGUAGAAAAACGGUAAAAAAUUUUAACAUUUCUGACUUUUAAAAAAAAAAAAGGCUAGUGAAUCGUCCGGUACGAUAGCGAACAUCCGGUAGAACAGUUUUUUUGACAGUUUCACUGCUAUAAAUACCUCUUCACUUCCUCAUUUGCAAUAACUUUUUUUGAUCAUUAAGUGAGGCUUUUAUUGAUUUCAACCACUCUUUUAAUCUUUAGAAUAUAAAAAAUUUACAUCUUGAAAAACUUUUGAGUGGUCAAAAUUAUUAUAAAUCUUUCAUCUCGUCAAAAGUUUUUCAAAGUAACACUUGAGCUUGCAAUCUAUUAAAGUGUCAAGCUUACUUCUCUCUCAAUGCUCAAUUGUGAUUAUUCCUUUUAUUAAGAGAGAAGUUUUCACUUGUAAUAUCUCCUUCUCUUAUUUUUGAUUGUAGGUCGUGUUGAGGUCCCGAAAAACUCAACAUUUUAAAAGGAUCGGUGCUCCUUGGUCAUGAGUCACCGAAAGCUUUGUAGAAAAUUGGAUUGCACCAUAAGUCAAUCAUAUUUAGUGAAAAAAGCUUUGCUCGUGACGAAGAGUUUGAUAACGGGGGACGUAGAUCGUGAUUGAAUCGAACCUCCAUAACAUAUCGUUUGCAUCUUCUUUCCCUUUCUCUUGUUAUUUUUCAAAGUUAUUUUCCCUGCUCAUUAUCUUAUUUGUAAAUUGAUUAUAUUAGCAUUUAUUUUCGAAAAAGAUUUAGAUAACCAAUUCACCCCCUCUUGAUUAGUCGUUCUUGGGCUUUCAAUUGUAUACUCUCAGUAUUUGAAUUUAAUAUUUAAACUAUCAAAUCAUGAUGUAAAGAUAAAUUUUCACUGGAAAAGACUAGCUAGUAAGAGUCAUCAAUUGGAAAAGCAAUCGGCAUGUAUAUGUUGUUCUUGAAGAAGAUAGAAUUGUAAUGAGGCCAUGACUACUCAAAGGUCAUCGUCUUUCCAAAAUUUCCUAUGAUGAUAGCUUGCCCUUUUGUCUUGCAUGUGCAUGCAGCCUUGUUCACUAUUCAGUGAACAAGGCAUGAACAUGAAAGGUCUAUCUUGUGACUUUAUAACAACUAUGAAUGGUCAAUAUUAAAGUGAAAUUCUAUUUUUUGUGUUUGUAAUGCGAUGUCGACUCUAACCCCUUCCCAAAAUUUUGAGUCCCUGUUGAGCCAGAUGGUAUUAUUUGACCUAACAAAAGGCAUAUGAGCCCAUGUUUUAAGGAUGACCAUUGCAAUAAAAUCAAUGUUCACAACAUGGUGGUCCGACAGGGUUUCGCUUUAUAAGAUAAUGCAAAGACAAAAUAAGCAUUAAGCAAAUCCUUACAAUUAAUAUCGAGAAAAUACCAUUCAAAACUUAAAAAGACCAGACCAUGGAGUUCUUAUUUAAACCCUGUUUGGUAGGGAUUAAAAUUAAGUUUUAAUAAAUUUUGAUAAAAGUUGAUGAUAUAUAUGGUUGAAAAGUUAUGGAUCCCAUGAAAUAUGUUAUUAAAGUUAAUUGUUGAUUUUGACAUAAAUUAAAAUUUAGAUUUUAAUUUCUACCAAACAAAAUUUCCUCUUUCCUUUUAAAAUGGCACAUUUAGUUUUCGAAGUCCGUAUUCAAAUAAAAGACGAUGGAUAACGGUACUCAGCUAUCAUAGAUCAAUAAUGAAGCACAUAUUUCAAGAUUACAAAGGCUACAUAAGAGUUCAUGUGCUUAUGAGUUUAUCAUCAUCUAAUAAUCGAAAAAAUGAUGAAAAUUAUAUAUUUUAUGUACAAUACCUAUCUUCCUAAUCCAAAAAAAUUGCAGUAUUUUAUCUAAUGUGUGGUCCAAAAUCUACCCUCUUUUAUCAUUCUCUAAACACCACUCCACCUGAUAAGUAUAGUUUCUACACUUAUUCGGGAUCCUAAAUGAUGAUAUUUUAUUAUUUUUUGAAUAUAUUAGUGUUUAAUUUAUUGUUUAUUGCUUGUAAUAGAAAAAAAUUAAUGUUUGGAUGAAGAAUUGAAAGAAAUAAUGGAAAAGGGCUAGAAUGAAGUAAAUUCAAAGUUCGUGGACUAAAGUGAUAAUACUUAAAACUUGUGACGGACUUCAAAUUGAUGAUAGGUGAUUGCUAGGAUCAAUUGAAUGCAAUAAGAGUAAAAAAUGAAUAAAAUAUAAUCAAAAGAUAUUUACAAAUUAAUUUCCAACCACAAAAGGCAUAUUCAAAAUUUUCAACCAGAGUUUAAGAUCCAUUUUUUGAAUACUAAAUGUUCGAAUUGAAAAAAUUGUACUUCAAGAAGAACAGCGACCCUUUGAGUUAGUUUUUCAAUACACUUUAAAUAACCUCACUUGGAUAUUAGGAAAGACCAAAAUACUAAAAGCUGUGCAGAGAUAAAAUCAUGCGCACGCGAAGGCAACUUUUUUUAUUUUAUUGGAACUCUUUUAGAAGGCAAUUUGGACAUGAAUCUUAAUCUAAUUUCAUCAUAUAAUAUACAAUACAUGGGCAGCCGUUGAGGGAUCUCUCUCUCUCUCACCUCUCAAAUUAGAUUCAUAUUAUAAAGUCAUUCAAGAAUAAUGGACAAAUUCAACCCAAGUUGGAGAGGGGAACAAAUAUAGCAAGUGAUUGAAUGAAGAAACAUCAAGAACUCUAAGACUCAAAUCUUGAGGCUGAUAAUCAAGAACAAUAAUUGGACCGUGGCAUCUCUUUCUUGUAUUUAUAAAUUUUGGGUGAUAUUCUUCCAUUCUUCUUGUUGUUUUAUCAUUAGAAACAUGUUUAACUAGAUUUCCAUUGUAUUGGAUGAUUGAUGUACAUUUUUGUGCAUUUAUUUUAAUUCAAGUCGAUUAAUUUAGUAUUUCUUGAUUAGUUUUGCAUUUCUAUCAUAUUUAUUUGAUUGCUUAGCUACCGGUUAGAUAAUAAGUUGCCUGUUAUAGUGUAGGAAUAUCCAAAAUGAGUUUAGAACACGACAAAACUAAUAUGUGUAGUUAGAAUUAGGAAUAAUCUCUUUUACACAUGUAGUCACUUUGAUAAUCCAAACUAAAUGCAUGAUUUCAUAUGAAUUCGGAUUAGGAUUAGGAUCGGUGUAAGUAUUAUGCCCUAGGUCCAAUCGACUUUGGACAUAAAUACUUUCAUAUAUAAUUAAUGCAAUUAAAUGGCAGAUCUAUUAUUUAAUUAAUAGACAAUUAAAUAAAUAAUAGAGUCCGUAGAUUCAAAUAUUUGUAAUUUGUUAAUCACAAGGAGUUGUGAUUGUGAGAUACAAAUUACAUCUGAUUGAAUUUUAAAUCUUCCGUGGUCGUAAGUAAUAACGAGAUACGGAUAUCGUUAUUACGGAUAGACCAUCACAUGUGGCAUUUCUCACUUGUGAAGUAAGUAACUGAUCUCACAAGUUAAAGUGUGGUGACACUUAAAUGAACAUGUGGAUGUUUUGUUAUAGAACAAAAUAUUGGAGACCCGUCGAGAGAUUCCACAUGGAUAACUAUCUGAGUGUCGGUGGUUAAUCUCUAACGUUCGAUAGUGAAAUUGGUCCUUUGACUUGAGGUCGUCAUGGUACCUUAUAUGAGGACAGUCAUACUUUGGCGGUGUUGGAUGUUGCUCUGAAAAGGGCCGCUAAUACGACAUCGUUCGGGUACGUCAAGAAUCGUAUGAAGGUUGUGAUUGAUCAAUAAAGGAUUCGUCACUCUUAGAUAGUAGGAGAUUAUGAUCUGCGUUUCAUUCAAUUAAGUCAAUGAUGAAAUCCUUGGCCAAGGUGUACUCAUAAGUCGAAAAGGAGUUUUCGAUUUAUAUUGACUUAAUAGUGGAGUGAAAGAUAUGAUCGAUGAUCGAGAUUGACACAACUCCAUAUCUCGUAAUUGAUCGGAUCAUAUUGACGAAGGGAUUAUAGUUUCACGGUAAACGAACGAAUUUGGUUUUGUCAUACCACAUGACAUUUCCCGUCACAUGUAUUGCCCUGACACAUUGCUAGAUGUCAAUCAGGGACGGCGAAUGUGAAUUGACGAUAAAUUAAAAGGGUGUUUUAAUUUAUCAAUUUUGAUUAGAUCAAAAUAAUAUUUCACGUCGUUAGGCAUCGUGGUCGGGAACCUAAUGGGUCACACACAAAAGAGAAUUGGAAGAUUGCAAAUUGCCAAUUGGUUAAUUUAACAAUCGUUGAAUAAAUUAAUUAAUUGGAUUUGUUAUUUAUAUUUUCGAAUUAAUUAAUUGGAUUAAUUAAUUCACGGACCGGGUUUAAUUAAUUGGAUUAAUUAAUUAUUGGACCGGACCGGACCGAGCCUGUUUGGGUUUAUAUAAAUACAUAACUAGGGUUUGAGGUCCAUUAAGGUUUUCAUUGUUCUUGCUGGCACAAGAGAAAACCCUAGAGGCUGCAAUCAUAUUCUCUGUGUGGAUCACCGUUGGAGGCUGGAGAAUUGGACAGCUGUGGUGGCAAAUCAAGGUUGAUUGAACGAAAAGAAAAGCAAAAGAUUGCAGAUCUGACAAAAGGUACAAUCUUAUCACAAUUCCUAACCAAACACAAUGAGAUCUAUUGGAUGGGAAUCGAAAUAAUUUAAUUUUCCGCUGUGCAUGUAUAAGUAGAUUCCCAACAAUCGGAUCGUGUUAAUCAUAGAUUCCUGUGUCUUGAAAAAGAGCAUUGAAUAAUUUAGCGUUAUCAAUCAUCAAAAUGCAAGAAAUUAACUAUAUUAUGACCAAGAGUUAAAAUAAAUGGCAAUAGAGGGAUUAUAGAUUCCAAUACAUGCAUCUCACAAUUGAAAACUUCACUUUUAUUACUUCUUAUAGAUUGAGCGUACUAUAGAAAACCAAACAAAUCACUCUCUUGAUGUCAUGCACACUUGAAUUUAGUAAAAGUUAUUGAACUAAAUAGUAUAUCUUAUUUCUCGUGGGAAUGACAAACUCAAAGUUCGUUAUUUCUAUUCAUUGUACAGUGAUCCCAUACGCUAUCAAGUUUCAAUGUAACACCACCCUCCAAGGGAGAUAUCUCAGUUUGGAGAUCACUACUAUCUUCCAAAUCUGGAGAUAAAGUAUACUAUAUAGUAUUGGACAGCAUCAAAGAAAGAAAGAAAGAAAAAUAAAAAUCUCGUCUAUCGUAUUGUUCUCUGUCCAGUUCAUCCUUGUAGCUAGCUCUAAUUGUGUAUAGGAGGUUUUCUUCUUGCUUGAGAAUAAUCCAUUCCAGCUAUGUCCAAAAUGCCAGGGUAAGGCUCUGCCACAGGCUGCUGUUUUUCAGUUACAGGUGAUGAAUUGCUCCCAGGAAUUUUUUCACUUCUUGAUUUGCCCUCUGAUUUGGUACGAUCUUUAUUUCCUUCAGUUUUGUCAUUCUGUACACGCAAAGCUAAUCAUAUAAGAGAGAAGAAAAAAAUGUACACGCUUACACUAUAAUAAACAAGAUUUAAUUUCUUGUUUUGAUUUUAAAUGAGCCAAAAGAGUUUUGAUUUGAAACUAUGCUGGACUAAACAUUGUUUUCUAACCCUUAAAAACCCACCUUAAUCAUGGCGUCAGUGCUGGAAAUAUGGGUACUUGUCUUGGUCAUAAGUUUUCUAUCAUUUCUUCCUGCAAACAAACUCUAGAAGUUGAGUAUAAGAUUUUUCUCAAGUCUCUCACAGCAAAACGAAAACCAUGACAUGUUUGGUUGAUCCACGGUCGAGAAAUAAUCAAUGAAUAUUAGGUUGGGGAAAAAAAAUAGAUCCUUAGUAAUUACCUGAACCGUGACUACUUUUGUAAUGGACAACCUCUUCAACAACAACAUUAAUUCUUCUGUCCGGAAUACUUUCCUGCUGAAUUACCAAAAUAUCAUAUUCAGAUUAGACUACAUCAGAUAGUACAUAUAAUUCCUUCAUUUGAAAUUACUCAAAAUUCAACAAUAACAGCCUCUGUGUGUGUACUUACAGGAAUAUUAUGAUGAUGUCUAGUCGAUACAGAUUCUCUUGUCAAUCGUAAGCCUUCAUCAGAAUAGGAGAGAUAAAUCAAAACAUUGCAAUUAUAAUGCUGUAAACGAAUAACUUAAUGAGCUGUACUUGGGUAAUUUUCGACCCACAAUAAAAAAACAAUAUUUUGCGACGUUCAAAAAAUGUUGUAAAAGACCUUAUGCAACGUUUGGACAUAUGUUGCAAAUCUCGAUACUGCCGUAAAGUGGAAGGAUAUGGCAGCGUCUUUUUGAAUAUUGCUAAUAUAUAUACAUAUAUAUUCAUAUGACCACUACUUGUGGUUAGCUAUUUUGACUUGGGAAUCAAGUCAGGGAGCGAAGGGACUACUCGACCCAAUAUAUAUGUACGUACGUAUACACAUACCUUGAGCUUCAUGAAGCAUUAAAAUUAGCAGAGAUAUAAGCAGCAGCCAGGACUUCAUUUGGAGAAUUAAAGGAUUUUUGAUAGAACAAUCGGAUUUUGGACAGAUUUGGAGUACUUGAUGAAGAGGGAAAUGGAAGGGAAUGUGGAUAUGUUGUGUGUGUUUAUCCUUCCCUCCCGAAGUUCUUAAUACUAUAUUUUGUGCAUUAAAGCUGGUGAAUACAUGCAACUUGUAUAUCUAUAUGUAAGGCAUAAGGGACCCAUGGCGACGACAGUAAUGAAGAGCCAACAAAUAGCUCAUUUAAUGUGACAUUUGAAAAGUCAAAAGAGCUUUCGAGAUCCAAAGCUUCUUUUGAACCCCUUCUGAAUAAUUUUAUACAAGUACUUUUAAUUAGAAGAUUUUUUAGAAGAAGCUGAUCUAACUUAACUUUUUUUAAAAGUACUUUUAGAAUAAAAAGUUUUUUUUAAAAUAAAAAUUAAAGUAACUUCUUCCAAAAAUUCUUCUACAUGGAAUAAAAGUAGAAGUCAUAUCGAACGGGCCCAAAAAAUACACUAGAUGUAUGACAUGCAGUGUGAAAAUGGCAAUCGAGAUUAGCCUUGUUUGGUUUGGAUUAAAAUCAAAUUAAAAUCUCAAGUUAAAGUCAACAAUUUAUUUUUCAACUAUAUAUUUCAUCAAUUUUUAUCAAAAUUUACUAAAAAUCUGAUAAUCUUUAGGGGAGAUUUAAUGGAGGUUCAAGUCUUCCUGAAACUGCAAGAACAGAAAAAUAAAUUCCCAACAAGACGUGUCUUUAGAAAUGACAAGAAAAUGUGGAGUGGUGUUCUGAUUUUCCUAUAUUUCCAUCACUGUCCGAACCCUACAUGGAUAGUUUGUCUCCCUUAAACAAUAUUCCCAAAAAUCAGUAGAUCUGCUCAGUAAUUACACUGUAAAAAUGAAGUUUUACCAUUUCAUGUAGCUUGUCGGUCUUCUACCUCUUUCGUAUAGUAAAAAAUUAUAUGUAUAUUUUUUCUUUGUGUUAAUAAUGGUAGAAACAUUUACGAGCUAUAUUCGCAAUUGCUUGAAUCGUAUUGUACUUCGGAUAUUUCAUAUUGAAUAGGAUAUAAAAUACAAAUAAAUGUCUUGUCUGUUUUUAUUCUCUAAUUUAUUUUUAGCAUUUGUUUUAUCCUUAUUUUCUAAAAUUCAUUUUUCUCCAAUUCAUUUUCGAUCAUAAAUUCAAUAAAAUUAACAAUUUUUAUCAAUUUUGGAGAUCACAAAUUUCAUAAAUUUUUAUCAAAAUUUACUAAAAAUUUGAUUAUUAGCUGAACCAAAUUUUGACUUUCGUAUUAUUCAUGAAUUUAGCAUGUUGAACAUGUCUUUAAUUACAAUUUCAAGAAUACGAUAAUUCACAAAAAUACCCCCAUUACCUUGAUUUGAUAAUCUCAAUUUAAACGUUUUAUUAUAUCACACGGCUGUUAAUGCACGUACACAGUCCCAUGAUUAGAACUUAUCAAUUCGACCAUAGUAGAAAUUGGACGGGACACAACUUGAGAGGGUCCAUUUGAUUUAUUGAGGAAAAUUACAAAUUUGAGGUUAUUAAUAAAUUUAUGGGUUUCAUUCAGUCCCUCGUCCCUAUUUUAUAAAAUUCAUUUUUUAAUUUAUAAAAUUUAACAUAACUAACAUGUCUUAUUUAAUCAUUGAUGAAUAAUGAAUUUAAUUCAAAUAUUGAGAUUUAACAUAAAUUUAUCCAUUAAUAAAUUAAUGUAUCAUGUCAACGAUACAUAACAUGUUUUAGACUAUUAUAUUAAAUUGAAACUUUAACUGUUAAAUUAAUUUAAUUUUACUAAAAAUUCAAAUAAAAGAGUUUAAAAUUUGCCAAAACGAAAUGAAAAUUGAGAAACUGUUGAGGCAGUUUAAUAGUAAAUGAGGUUGAUUGAGUGGAUGAAUGGUAAACUGUCAGCUUCUCCCCCCAUACAUCGCCCUUUGAUUAUGUUUCCAGAAUCCACGUGGACGUCCAAAUCUGGGGUCCCACAUGAAACUGACGUGGCAAUGUUUCAUGUGGACGUCGACUGCUCAGGGACAGGAAAACAUUAGAUUUGUGAUCGUGGCUAGAGGGCGGUGGUCCAAGGAUCGUAGAUAGGAUGCAAUCCUCGAAUUUUAGCCGAAGGCCAAGCCCAAUUUAAAAUUUUCAAAUAUAAAAAUAAAUUGUAACUUUUUUUUUCUAUAUAUUAGCCCAUGCGAAAAAUAAUAAUUUAUCCUCCCAUGGCUCCAUGCUUGAGUAGAUCAAAUUUAACUCUCUCUUUUUUUUUUCUUUUUUUUUUCAUUUGAAUUGCUUUUAAAGUAAAUUAACGAGCUUUCAUGUUUAUAUGUAUUCAAUCUCAUGGGGAAAUCCCAUAUAACCCAAUAUAUCUGAUAAGUCGCACUAUACAUCAAUCCAGGAUGUAAUUUGAGAUUCUCUCGCUUGACAAAUAGGAUUUUUAACACAAGAUUUCCCUUUCUGUAGAAAAGGCCCGUAUCUAUAAUUAUGAUUGCAGCGUUACGAGUUUGCUACAUUCUUACACAAAUACCCUAUAUUUUGGGAUAGUUUUGAAAAAGCAUGAUAAACUUGAAUUAUAUGAUAAUUGCUUACAGUUCACAGCCAAUUAUAUGCCCAAACCUACGGACUUCUCCCACAAAUAUCAGCUUCCAAUUUAAAAAAAUCAGAGGGAAAUUGAAAGGGAAAAAGAAGAAGAAGAAAGAAACUACACAAAUCAAGCAAAAACAAAAUCGAGAUUGCUUCAACAUUUAUUCUUCAAAGAUAUCUUCCACAAAUCUUGAAAUACACAAACAAAAUUACAGUUUUUUUUUUUUUUUGACUCGUUUUAGUACUUUCUUAAUUCUAUUAUUUUAAGAUCGUUUAGUGCUAUAUUUGCAUAGAUUAUGAAAGCAACAACCAUAGUUAUCAAUUUCCAGCUGAAUAAUCUCUCACUUAUAAAUUUUAAUCAUCAUAGUACAUUGUCUAUCUCAUUUUUAUUUGAAUUUCGUGAUUAGGUUUAGUUCGAACUUUAUAAUGUAAAUAAUUGACAUUUAUGAAGUUUCUUUUUGAUGAUUUUGCUACUGUAAUUGGGAACAUGUUUGAAAAUAACAUUAUGAACUUGAGAAGAAAAUGAUUGUGUUUAACAUAUGAAAAAUUAGCUUUGGAUCAGUUAAAAUGAUGCAUACAAGGUAUUUGACUAUAGGAAAAUGUAAAACUAAAAAAUAGUCACAUUAUCUUAUUUGAGCAAUUAAAUAGAUGCAUAUGUGUACAUUUUUAAAAUUUUGAACAUACAAAUUCAAGCAUUGUUUUAUGCUAAUACAUAAAAGAAAAUUUUGAAUUAAUUAGAUUGAUACAUACAAUGUAUUUGUUUAAGAAGAAUGUGAAAAACUGACAUUCUGCCACUUUUCUAAAAAAAAUUACAUUAUCUCAUUGGAACGAUUAAUUGGAUGCAUAUGUGUGCGUUUAGAAAUUUGAACAUAAAUUCAAGCCUUAUUUUAUAUUAAUACAUAUGAAAAAGAAAUUUGAAUUAAUUAAAUUAAUGUAUGCAAGGUGUUUGCUCAAUGAGAAUGUGAAAAAAUAUUAUCAUUUUUCUAAAAAUAAAAUCACACUAUCUAAUUGGAAUAAUUAAUUAGAUGCAUGUGUGAGUUUUUUUUUUUUUUUUUGGAAAUUUUAACAUACAAAUUCAAGCAUUGUUUUUCUGUUAAUGCUGUUGGGAUCGAGGGGUUGUAAAGAAUGAAGUUAAUAACGCGAUAUGAAGUUAAUAUGGAUUGCAACAAUAUAAUAAUAUAUAUCAAUGUUUAAAGUAAAGAAGAAAAAUAGAAUUUAAGCAGAGUAACGAUGAAUUUUAUUAAACCUGACAAUAUGGAGAGAAUUACAACGACACAGCAAUUUGGCUUAAAUUAAACUGAAAGAGAAGCCACAUAUUUAUAGUACACAAAUUAAAUCCUAAAACUAGGCAAAAGAUGGAAAGUAGGUUACAAAAUGCGUAAAAAGGAAAAAAAAUAAUUGUCACGUUCAAAGAAGGUGAUUUUCUUUCCUUUUUCAUAGACCCAAUUUGAUUCUCUAGAAAUCAAUACACAUCAACCCAACCCCUAAUUUGGGGCAUAAACUUGAAAUCUCCACCUUGACCCAGAUUCUGGUGCAACGAGCGAAACUCAACAAAAUUCUCCACCUGAGAAAUAAACUCAUCUCCAUCGAAAUGAACUGGCUAAUCUUCUCAACACAGUAACCAAAACUCUCUAUCACCAAACCAUCUUCCUCUGCAAGGCAUCCACAAGCGACACAUGAACCCAAAUCUUGGGUUCCCAAAAUUCCACCAAGGAAUUACUGUUGACCAAAUAGGGUCGAAGCACACCUUGUAGCAGACACCAAACUAAGUGCUUGAUCAGAAGGCCCCUUGUCAGAACUGUCACCUUCAACGAUCCCAAAAGCAUCACAGACAUCAAUAACACCACCGUACCUACGCUCCAUGAGUCUACCCCUGACAUUUGAACACAGUGCAUUCGCUGAAAUUGGUAGCAAAGCAGAAUUACCAACGCUCUCCCUAGCAAUGUUCUGAACCGACCCAGAGCCCGUCACAAGAGGUACUGUACCAAACUGUAUAUCCACCACGGUACUGAACUUGUCCCGAUGUCUCAAAACUGGUUCUGCACUUCCCUGCAAUAUGUACAACAGGGAUCUCUUCCGUCCCUCCAUUACAACCUGGACACCCCUUCGGACCUUCAAAACUCCACCUUCACCAGAGAAUUUAUGUCUGAAAUAAAUUCCUAUCAGAACAUAUAUGAUGCUAACAUACCGAAUCAAGAAUCCACUCCUCGUCAGGCUUAGAUUCCACGUCAGAAACCACAAUCAACAUCACAUCUCUGCCAUCCGAAAAAUCCUCAGUCACAUUAGUCUCGUCCGAAUUCCAUGAUUGCCCCCUAUGAUUUGCAGCUAAAUCAUCUUUAGCCUUCAACUUCUCACAAUCCUUUUUCAAGUGUCCUCUCCGUCUGCAGUAGAAGCAAUUCACAUUGCUGCUUUCCCUAAAUCUAUCCUUCCAUCGACCACCAUGAAAUACAAGAGCUUCCCCAUCACUUGAUGUAGCUCCAAUCAGAUGCUUCAGCUUCUCCUUUGAAUGUAUCAUAGACAUCAUCUAUAGUCAACGUAUCAUGACUGUACAAUAUGGUGUCCUAAAACAACGCAUAAGAGCCCGACAGCAAACAUAACAGGACCAAGGCCAGAUCCUCUUCAUUAUAUUCCAACGUCUCCAAAUCUGUGACAAUUUCUUUGAACACGGAAAUAUGGUUUUCCAAUAACCCUCCUUCCACCAUGCGAUGGGAAUACAACUUUUACUUUAGAGCCAGUUUGCUAGUAAGACUCUUGUUCAUGCACAACUAUCCCAGUUUCAACCACAAAGCAGCAGCCGUUUUCUCAUUCAAGACAUCUUGUAGAAUAUUGUUGGAUAGAUGGAGAUGAAUCAAUGACAAAGGGUUCCGAUCCUUCCAUUGUUUCUCCUCCGUUGUCCAAUUAGCUGGCAUAUUCUCAAAACUCAGCAACACAUCGUCCAACUCCAAUUGUGCCAAAACAUCCCUCAUCUUUACUUGCCAUAACGAAAACCUUAUAUUGAGAUCAAGCAGCGGAAUAUCAAACUUCAUGGCAGCCAUCUCUAAAAAACUUCAACCAAUCCACAGAAGACCGAAGCUCCAAUGCCACUUGUUAAGACUGAGGGGUUGUAAAGAAUGAAGUUAAUGACGCUAUAUGAAGUUAAUAUGGAUUGCAACAAUAUAAUAAUAUAUAUCAAGGUUUAAAGUAAAGACGAAAAAGAGAAUUUAAGCGAAAAAACGAUAAAUUUUAUUAAACCUGACAAUAUGGAGAGAAUUAUAAUGACAUAGCAAUUUGGCUUAAACUAAAUUGAAAGAUGAGCCACAUAUUUAUAGUACACGAGUCAAACCCUAAAAUUAGGCCAAAGAUGGAAAGUAGGUUACAAAAUGCGUAAAAAGGAAAAAAAUUUGUCACAUCCAAAGAAGGUGAUUUUCUUUCCUUUUUCAUAGAUUCAAUUUGAUUCUCUAGAAAUCAAUACGCAUCAACCCAAUCCCUAAUUUGGGGGGGGGGGCAUAAACCUGACAAAUGCAUGUUAAAAAGAAAAUUUUGAAUUAAUUAGAUUGAUGCAUAUAAGGUGUUUUUCAAAAAGAAUGUGAAAAAGUGACAUUAUGUCACUUUUCUAAAAAAAAAACCACAGUAUCUUAUUGAAACAAUUAGUUAGAUACAUGUGCGCGCGUUUUUUUAACAUACGAAUUCGAGCUUUGCUUUAUGUUGAUACAUAUGAAAAAUAAAACUUUAAAUCAAUUAGAUUGAUGCAUGCAUGGUGUUUGCUCAAGGAGAAUGUGAAAAAGUCGGCCACUUUUCUAAAUAAAAAGUCAUAGAAUUUCAUUCAAACAAUUAACUAGAUGCAUAUAUGCGUGUUUUUGGAAGUUUGAAUAUAUAAAUUCAAGUCUGGUUUUAUGUUAAUGCAUAUGAAAAAAAAACAUUGAAUCAAUUAGAUUGAUGCAUGCAAGGUGCCUGCUUAAAGGAGAAUGUGGAUUUUGUUACUUUUCAAUGAAAAAAGUGAUAUUUUGUAACUUUUCUAAAAAAAAAAAAAAAAGUCACAAUAUUUCAUUGGAGCAAUUAACGGGAUGUAUACGUGUAUAUUUUUGAAAAUUUGAACAUACGAUUUCAAAUCUUGUUUUAUAUUAAUACAUAUAAAAAAUAAAAUUUUGAAUAAGUUAAAUUGAUGCAUACAAGGUGUUUGAGAAAAUGAUAAUAUGGAAAAGUGACAUCUCAAAAAACUCACAUUAUCUCAUUGGAGCAAUUAACUAGAUGCAUAGAUGUGUCUUUUUGGAAAUUUAUGACUAUGUUUCUCUUAUAUUAACUAACCAUAGAACAUAACUUUAUUUUAGAAACAAAAUAACCUAUAAGUUGAAAGAGACAAAAAUUCACAAAAGUGACAAAAAUUCAAAAAAACGAUAAAUUUAAAUAAAAAGUAAGACAACAUGUCAUUUUUCGUUGAUGUUGUUGACUACCAAAUUUUUUUCGAAGCAUUCAUUGUAAAAUUUGUAAUGAAUCUUUUUUAUUGAAAAACCUUGGACAUUGAAAAAAUAACAAGCCAAAUACAAUUGCUAGAACUUAAUUUAACAAUCAAAUGUCAAUUAUGUUUUAAAUCAAAUAAUUAAAAUUCUGUUUACAUCAAUUUGGAUUAUUUCGAUCAUAUAAUCAAAUAUAAAAACAUCUUGACAUUUUGAGACUGAGAUGUAACACAAUGAGCCAUAAAAUUUUUUUAUUAGAACAGCGUGAAAAGAAAAAUUAGGGACGGUCCUUUUGUAUCAUUGAUGAAUUUGAAUUUUUAAUUAAUAUAAUUGAUAAAUCCACAUUAAUGAAGGUAAUAAUAGUUAAGGAAACAAUUACACUUGUGCAGGCGCUUAACAAUGACGACAUAAUGCUCCACUUUACCGUAUUGAAUAUUGUGGAGGAAAAGUUUAUGGAAGAUAACAAGUGUAUUAAUCAAUUUUAGCAUCAAGGCUGUACUUUGCCUAAUUUCUCCAUUAUGAUUUUACGUACGGACAAUUCUCAAAAAAGUCCAUUUCUAAAUGUGGCUUUCAAAUUAAGGAAAAUUAGUGUGCUUGAGAGUCCCUAAUGAUUAAAUAAACCAAGAUGUAUUCUACAAGGAAAAUUUUUGUCACGGUUCAUAACUCGGGAUUCCGACAUCCUUCCCCAAGAAAAGCUUUAAAAUAUUUUUGUCACGGACACUGGAGCUGCAUGUACGAUAUGUGAAAAACAUAUCGAAUAAAAAUUUAAAGAUUAGAAAAAAUAUUCUCAAUACAUUUUUCAUAUUGGUGUCCAAGAAGUAUUAUUGUCAUGAAUAUCUGAGGUGUGUAUUUGUAUCGCGAGUGUAUGAUAGCAUGAAUCAAUAAUUAAUUGAUCUAAGAAUCUCAACUAUCAUUUUCACGUAGAUUCUUAUUAAAUUGUUAAUAUACUAGUCUUAUCUCAUAUUUGACUAAAAGCAAAUAAAAGUGGUUCAACUAAUUUCCUAAAUAUUUUAAUUAUAGUAAAUCUAUCUAAACGUACCUAACUAUAUCAAAUUGGGUGUUUUGCGUAUGAAUGAGAAUGUUGGAACUUUUAAAUUAACAGUAGUUAUUACAUUUAAUCUCGUCUUUCAAGAUUCAUUCAAGAUGAAGUAUUCGAUUGAAUUCUUUAUAAUUAAUCAAUUUGUCACUCUCGAAUUCAAAUCAAUCAUAUCUACCUAAGUAAAUUCACAAUUCUCUACGUGAGUCUCAGCUAAACACAUUCAAACUCCUAAGAAUGCAACUAAAAAAUGCGACAACUAUAUAAGCAUAUUUUAACACUUUUAUCUAAAUUGUCGAAUUUUACUACGUGGACUAAACUUCUAACUUACCUCUCAAUUUGUUACAAUUUCACAAUUAAAUACAAAAAUGAUCAGUUAUUUUUUUUAUUUUUUAAAAAGCGUAAAUCGUGGUUAAACGUUAAGGUCAAGUUUCAAUCUUUACGAGACUAGACAAUAUCUAGGCAUAAAAUGAUGUUUUCUUAUUUUUAAUUUUUAAUCAUUUUAAAAUUAUUUAAUAAUUAAAAUAAUAUAUGCCAAAUAUCUAAAAUUAUAAAAAUACUAUAUUUACUUAAUAAUUCCUACAGUUGGUUAAUGAAUAAAGAUAUUUGUACAAAAUCUUGUUGAGAAAAUGGUGUACUCAUUCUCACAAAAUUAGUGGACCCAACGUGAAUUUAAAAAUUCUCGGCUUGUGGUCCUUACUUCCAUUGUGAAUAUUGAGUAAGGUAGUUUGUAAAAAAAAAAAAAAAACUUUAACGUGUUUUCAUUUUUGACUUUUAUAUAGAUAAAGUCAUUUAAAAACUUGAAACCAAAGUUAAAUAAAAGGCUUUUAAAAAAGAAAAAGAAAAAAUAAUAAUAAAGCACUACUGUGCAAUUAUUGUCAAGGCAUGGCGUUUCGUCCGAGCCUCACGCCUAGGCAACACUGCUUAGACUGACUUUUUUAAGAACGCUGGUUAUUUCAUAUCAUAAGAAGUAUAAGUAAAAUCAAUACAUGAAACUUAGAUUAUAAGUAUAUUGAAAAAUGAAAUUAAAGGUCACACAUCAUUUGCACUAACUAUGAAAUUAGUUACACGAUAAUGAAAGAUGAAAGAAAAAAACAAAAAGAGAAUCGAGCGCAUCACUGGAUUUUUGAAUAAAGACGAAGAAAGACAACGAUCUUCCACCAAAGAAUCUCUUUUUUCUAAGCCUUAAUCUUAAAACCCUUGAACAUUCUUCUCACUUCUCUCUAGAUCUUGAAUUAUAUACGUUGUUCUCUAAAUUGUGCCCCCUACAAUGAAUAAAACUAUUUAUAGUAUUCUUAACAAGGUUUAAAAUCGAGGCCCAAAUUUGUAUUCAAAGUAAAAGUUGAGUUGAAGAAGGAAAAUAAUUCUAUCUUGCGAAUGAACCAUGUGAUCACACAGUGUUACAAGGUACGAUUGCAACGAAGGGCUUGCUUUGUUGCUUCGCACAUUUUAAGAACCUUGCGAUCGCAUUUAAAUAUACUGUUGCGAUCAUAGUGAUUAUAAAAUUUGUAAGUUGUGCAAUUUGGUCCUUGGAUCUCCUUUCUAGUCCAGCUUAUGUCCUCCUUAGUUGCAUUGGAGAUCCUUUGACUUUCAAACUAUACAGUUUGGUCCUCAAAAUCCAUAUUCCAUCAAACCUCAAUCUUUGUUUUAAUCGUAACACAUUCAUUUUCAUCCUUUCAAGUUCAAAAUCGAAUUCUCUCCCAAAAUAAUCACUAAACACAUAAAAUUAAAUAUCUUAACUCACUAAAGUACUCUUGAACACUCACGUUGAUUAGCCCUAAUAAGUGUAAAUCACACUUAUCAAUGUCCCAAGUAAUAAAGAUUGUCGUACCAGUCUAUUGAAAAUUGUUAUAUGACGUGGUUAAUAUAGCACUAAAGCAUGCAAAAGUCUUGAGUUAAAUUUCCCAUGCAACUCAUAUGAAAAUAUUACUUAGCCCAUUUGUCUCCUAAGUCCUAGCUCAGUUCUAUAACUCCCCAUAAUCUAGUUUUACAUAACUCUUCACAAAUUUUAUUGAAGGAUUUUGCUGUUGGGAUUGACUUAAUAAUUAAAAUAAUGCUAUUUACAGUCACUCACUAUCGCAAAUGUCCUAAUUGGCAAGCAUGUAAUGGUUAGUGAUUUGAUAUAUGUGGUAAGAAAAAAAGAUCACAUUAAUACAUUAAAUCACAAAUCGUCAUAUAGGAUACCACGUAGGAUGACUAUCACAGUGAGUGACUAUGAAUAUCAUUACUUCAAUAAUUAAGUCUAGGGACUAAUGAGAUAAAUAUGAAUACGACCAUUGAUAACGGUACAAGAGAAACAGAUUCGCCCCAAUGGUAUUAUGUAAGGAAAAAAAAAAUGAAAUUUGUUUCCUACAAGAUUUGGAAAAAGCUAAUGGCCAAUUAAGGAAGCUUAAAAAAUUAAUAAAGAAUUAUUCUUUCGUUAUUGUCGAUGGUUUAUCGACAUUUAAUUAUUAAUUUUCUUUUAUGACUCGUUUUGUGUUAUUAUUUCUACUGCAUUAGGUGGGAUCAAUUUUUCCCCACAUUAGCGAGAUUAAUCCUUUAAAUUUUUAUCAAAUUUCUUUAUAAACGGUUAGAUAAUAUUGCAACCUAAUUUCCACUUUUUACAAUAUGCAAUCCAAAAUAUAUUACAAUUGACAAUACAAAAAUGAAUUUUCGGUGAUGAUCUUUCAAACCAAACAAGUAAGUAAUCCUUAUUGAAUAUAUUGGGACCGUUACGUGAAUCUAUUUUCAGUAUUACUUUCUGUUUCUUGCUAAAUUUAUUGAGAGAUCUAUAAGAUUAAGAUCUCUAAUUAUGAAGUUAGUAAUAAAACAAACAAGAUUCCCUUCUUUUAAUUUUCAUUUAUUUAUUGCAAAUAAAUGCUUCCAGCCCUUACCCACAAAAUGUCUUUCUUUCUGGGUAGGCUCAUUUGAAUUGAUCCACUAAGGAAUUUAUCAAUCCUGCUUGAAGUACGGGACUUGUUUCACAGGUUCUUGUCAGGAUUUACACACACACAAUGGGGCUCGUCAUAGUUUUUUUUAUUACAUAUGGGGCCCGCCUGCUACAAUGAGGGACCUGGCAGGCCCCUAUGAAAUUAAUCCUUGUACUCAGGGAUUAAUUCGGAAUUUAUACAUGAAGUACUAAAUGGCAUAGGUAUUAGUUAGUAUAGUUUUCUUUUGGCUUGACCUAAACUGAAAUGUAACUAUUAUUAGGUAAUUCAAGAAAUUGAAUACAUAAAAAUGUUUUUCUUAAGGAGCCAUCCUUUUCAAAAGCUAUUAUUUCUACCUAAAUUUUUUUCGUUCACCUAUACUUUCUUCUUGUUCUUUAAAGAGUGGAAUCGAGGGCUCGUUGGCUAUUGCACUUAUUCCUCCCAACUCGUGAGACCAUACCUUUGCAACUCUUAACUUAGUAAGGAUCAGGUCAACUCUACUAAUCCUAAGAGGCCGGUCGAACCUCAGUUUGUGUUUUGGGAGGAGGAGUCCUGAGUUUUAUGAAUGGCCACAAACUGAAAGACAGGUGAAGAAAAUGGGGGGCCAAAUCUCAAAUAGUAAGUGAGUUUUUAACAUGAACAAUAAUUGCAUCACAACACCUCAUGCACUAGUAAAUGCUGAGUGAGGCAGAAAUUUAAUUCAAGUAGGCCUCCAGAUAGAUGGGCAUUUAAUAACAAGGUUACAAAAUUGGGAUGAGCUAAAAAUCGUGUGGUGUAAAAUCUCCUUUUCAUUUUAUUAUCAGACAUUGCAUCAUUUCUAUGGUUUUUUCUUUUUAAAAUAUUUUUACAUCAGUCGAGGUUUGAAAUAUAGCAAGUGACGAACUUAUUCGAUGAGGGAGUUUGAGUUCUAAUUUAAAAUGUUAAUUUUGAUAUGAUGCGCAUGCAGUUCAAGCCUUUUUGUGUUGAUUGUUGUUUUUAUAUUUGAAUGACUUUGAAUUUCACUUCCGAAAUUCUUACAAAAUGAUUUCUUAUUUGAGACUAUCAAUAUAUAAUUCAUUGGUUUGUUUGAGUUGUAGACAGAUAAAAUUGCUCAUUUGAGCUUCUUGUAUGAGUCAAUCUAGUAACACAUAAAGUCCUAUUUGGUAUAGAUGUUAGACAAAAAUUGAUCCAAAACAACAUAAGGCGGAAAACCGAUAAAAUUGCUCAUUUGAGCUUUCUGUACGAGUCAAUCUAGUAACACAUAAAGUCCUAUUUGGUACAGAUGUUAGUCAAAAAUCGAUCCAAAACAACAUAAGGUGGAAAAAAAAUGGAGAAAACUGAAUGCCCAUAAAUCGAGUUCAUACCUUUGGCCAUUCGUGUCGUUCCAAAGCUCUUCCUUUUGUUCCAUGUGUUGGAAAAAUUGGCUGACUUUGGCACGAGUUUUGAGUGGGACCCGAUUGUUUAAUUUGGAAGAUGAAAGAUGAUUUGUGUUCUCCUCUGUGAGUACAUCGAAAUCAUAUACUUACUUGCCAAAGUUGAUGCUCAGAAGAAUAAGAAAUUGAGACUCAAAAUGUGCCACUUAAAAGGGAGUUUAUGUGGGAAAAAUGAAUUUGUCCCACAUAGGAAAAAGAUGAGGAAUUCCAAAGGUCAUUGUCAUUAAUGGUAGCCUAGCCUAUAAAUAGUGGCUCAUUUUCUUCAUUUCAACACACAAAAAAAAAAAAGCAAAAGUUUUCAAGUUUAGAAUACACUAGAAAUUCAUUUGCAUAGAGUUCUCUCUUGGUGGUGGUGUAGUUCAGGCACUAGUUUAGUUCGUCAGAAUGGUUUCUGCGGUGCUUGGAAGCUACUGAUUUUACCGUUGUAUCCUGGGAAACGGACACUUGUUUUAAACCUCAAAUACGGACGGUGAGGGGGCAAAUCGAUUUUAAGGAAACUGUGUGUAACACAUGCCUCGGGUUAAAAUUCUAUGUUUCAGUUGUUUAGUUCAUACAAUUUUUCGUAUUAAAUUUACAGUCCAUGCUUCAUGAAUUUAUGAUAUAUUGUUCGUAUGCUUCAUGAAUUUUAAAUUCUAUUGGAACAAAAGUUAUUUGUUGGAAAUAAAACUUUCAAUGAUCUGGUGAAAAUUCGAUAUACGGUUGUUUGAAUUUUGUUGAUUUGCAUAGUUGCAAAAUUGAAAGGCUUUGUCAAAAAUACCUAAACUGUCUAAGAAAGGUUUGGGAUUUAAGCGGUCCGAUUGUGACCCCCUUCCUCAUCUGGGAUUCUUUUAAUUGCGCAUUAUUCAAAUUGACGAGACGAAAGACAACAUUUCCCGAUUUUAUCCACAUACACUGAAUUUCCUACAAGCUUAAAACAGAUUUUCAGAAAGGAAAAUUUGGUUUCCUAUAUGGAUUAUCUCUGAACUAAUUAGUUUCUUAUAUUUGUUAUAUUGUGGAAACUAAUUUGUUGUUUGGUUCUUUCAGAAGAUGAAAUGGCAACCGAUUCCACCAACAUAGAUUCCAACAUGGAUGUGUCCCAAGUUGAAGGUACCCAAUCUCAGGCUAUGGGUUCUACUAUGGGUGCAGGGCCUAGUUCGGCUAUGGGUGCAGCUAUGGCUGCAGUGCCUAGCUCUGUUAUGACACAGACUGUGGCUCCAAUGCCAAGUCGUGUUGUGAGCCAACAUGUGACUAAUGUUCCGGUUAAUGUACUAGUUAACCAUGGGGAAAAGCCGGAGAAAUUCAACGGCUUGAAUUUCAAGAGGUGGCAGCAGAAAAUGCUGUUCUAUCUGACCACCUUGAAUCUUACGAGAUUCUUGACUGAAAGUGCUCCAAAACUCCAAGAGGGUGAGGUGGAUGUUCAAGCUAUCAGUGUUGUUAAUGCCUGGAAACACUCGGACUUCUUAUGCCGGAAUUAGAUCAUGAACAGUUUGACAAAUUCGCUAUACAACAUGUAUAGCACCAUGAGAACUGCUAAGGAGUUGUGGGAGUCUUUGGACCGAAAAUAUAAGACUAAGGAUGCCGGGGCUAAGAAAUUUAUCGUCGGCCGAUUCUUGGACUAUAAGAUGGUGGACUCCAAAACUAUAAUCAGUCAAGUGCAAGAACUCCAAGUGAUUCUUCACGAAAUUCAUGCCGAAGGGAUGAUUCUGAGUGAAACUUUCCAAGUGACUGCAAUCAUUGAAAAAUUGCCUCCCGCGUGGAAAGAUUUCAAGAAUUAUCUGAAACACAAGCGAAAGGAAAUAAACGUUGAAGAACUGAUUGUUAGACUUCGAAUUGAAGAAGACAACAAAAGUUUCGAAAAGAAGUGGUUCAAUCCUGGUGUGGCUAAGGCCAAUAUUGUUGAACAUGGUCAAGGUAGUAAGAACUACAAAACCAAAGUUGGGCCAUCCAGUGGAAAAGGGAUCAAGCUGGGACCAAAAGGGGGCAUUCCUAAGAAGAAAUUUCAAGGGAAGUGCUUCAACUGUGACAAAGUAGGCCACAAAUCUUCGGAGUGCAGAUUGUCAAAGAAGAAGAAAGAAGCAAAUGUGGUUGACUACAUAGCACAUGAUGUGUCGGAGAUGAGUCUCGCAGUAGUCAUUUCUGAAGUGAACAUGGUGGGUUCUAACCCAAAAGAAUGGUGGAUUGACACCGGAGCUACGAAACAUGUGUGCUCUGAUAAAGAGUUAUAUACUGCUUUUGAAGUAGUUGAGAAUGGAGAGAAGUUGUUCAUUGAAAAUUCAGCAACUUCUAAAAUCAAGGGCUAAGGAAAAGUGGUUCUAAAGAUGACUUCGGGAAAAAAGCUGACUCUCAACAACGUUUUGUAUGUGCCAGAAAUCUGCAAGAACCUUGUGUCCGGGUCACUUUUGAAUAAGCAUGGUUUUCGCAUUGUGUUUCAGUCAGACAAGGUCAUCUUGUCGAAAAGUGGAAUGUUUGUCUGAAAAUGUUAUGUUUCUGAUGGAAUGUUUAAACUCAAUGUAAUGGUUGUUAAACCAAAAAUGAAUAAUAGAAUGGAUGCUUCUGUUUACUUGCUUGAGUCUUUCAAUGUGUGACAUGGUAGACUAGGACAAGUUAACUAUGAUACUUUACGUAGGCUAGUUAACUUGAAAUGCAUACCAGCAUUCCAUGUUGAUUCCAAAUAUAAGUGUGAGACUUGUAUUGAAGCAAAAUUGACUAGGUCGUCAUUUAAGUCAAUUGAACGAAAUACGGAAUCACUUGAUUUAAUUCACAGUGAUAUAUGUGAUUUAAAAUUUGUACAAACAAGAGGUGACAACAAAUAUUUCAUUACUUUUGUCGACGAUAGCACGAAAUAUUGCUAUGUGUAUUUGCUAAAAAGCAAGGAUGAAGCGAUAGAGAAAUUUGUUCUCUAUAAGAAUGAAGUUGAAAAUCAACUUAAUAAGAAAAUUAAGGUACUAAGAAGCGAUCGAGGUGGUGAGUAUGAAGCACUGUUUGUUGAAUUCUGUGCACAACACAAAAUUAUAUAUGAAAUCACCGCACCGUAUUCACCGCAACAAAAUGGUGUUGCUGAAAGGAAAACUCGCACUUUAAAGGAGAUGAUGAAUGCGAUGCUCGUAAGUUCUGGAUUACCUCAAAACAUGUGGGGGGAUGCUGUAUUAUCAACAAAUUACCUUUUGAAUAAGGUGCCCCGAAAGAAAAUGAAGAAGACCCUUUAUGAGUUAUGGAAAGGAAGAACGUCUUCCUAUAAAUACUUACGAGUGUGGGGGUGUCUAGCUAAAGUGGCUGUCCCAAUACCAAAGAAGGUGAAUAUAGGCCUGAAAACUGUAGAUUGCAUAUUCAUUGGAUAUGCACAUAAUAGUAGUGCUUAUCGAUUUUUCGUGUAUGAAUCUAAAAUCCAAGAUAUACAUAGAAACAUGAUAAUGGAGUCGAGAAACGCUUCAUUCUUUGAACAUGUGUUUCCAUGCAGGUCCGAAGAAGAGGCAAGAUCUUCUAAACGGACGUAUGAGACUAUGACUGAACAUAGUUAGGACCAAGAACUAGAAGAGGAGGUUGAGGUUGAACCUAGACGUAGCAAAAGGGAAAGGAUACAAUAAUCUUAUGGUCUAGAUUUUCUGACCUAUAUGCUAGAAAGUGAACCUCAAAGCUAUCAAGAGGCUGUGAACUCCUUGGAAGGACCUCAAUGGAAAGAGGUCAUUAAAAGUGAAAUAUAUUCUAUCCUGCAAAAUCAUACAUGGGAGCUAGUGGAUCUUCCACCAGGAAGUAAACCACUAGGCUACAAGUGGAUUUUCAAACGAAAAAUGAAAGCAAAUGGAACUAUUGAAAAGUAUAAGGUCAGGUUGGUAAUAAAAAGUUACCGAUAACGGGAAGGCCUUGAUUACUUUGAUACAUAUUCUCUAGUAACGAGAAUAACAUCCGUUAGAAUGAUACUUGCGAUUGCUGCUUUGCGAAAUCUUGAAGUACAUCAAAUGGAUGUUAAGACUGCCUUCUUGAACGGAGACUUAGAUGAAGAAAUUUAUAUGGAACAACUCGAAGGGUUUUCGUCUCCAGGGCAGGAAAAGAAAGUGUGUAAAUUGGUGAAGUCAUUGUAUGGCUUGAAACAAGCACCAAAACAAUGGCAUGAGAAAUUUGACAGUGUCAUGAUGGAGAGUGGAUUUAAGAUCAACGAGUGUGACAAAUGUGUUUACGUCAAAGACACUAAAGACAGAUAUGUCAUCUUAUGUCUUUACAUUGACGACAUAUUUAUUGUUGGCAGUGACAAUAAGAUGAUUGAAUCCACUAAAAAUAUGUUAAACUCGAGGUUUGACAUGAAAGAUAUGGGGUUAGCUGAUAUUAUACUUAGAGUGAAAAUCUCAAGAAAAUCAAAUUGGCUUGUUCUUAUGUGGACAAAAUUUUAGAAAAAUUCCAUAAGGAUGAUACUGGCUUGGCUAGAACACCAAUAGAUACUAGUCAACAUCUCUCUAAAAACAGAGGAGAAAUUAUCUCUCAAGUAGAAUACUCGAGAGUUAUCGGAAGUCUAAUGUACUUAAUGAGCUGUACUAGACCAGGCAUAGCCUACACAGUCAGUAAAUUGAGUAGAUACACGAGUAAUCCAGGAGCUGAUCACUGGAAAGGAAUAGUAAGAGUACUAAGGUACUUAAGAUAUACUCGUAAUUUUGGACUGCACUAUAGCAGAUAUCUAGCGGUCAUUGAAGGAUAUAGUGAUGCUAAUUGGAUAUCCGACAUAAAAGACUCAAAGUCCACGAGGGGAUUUGUGGUCACUUUGACAGGUGCAGCUAUAUCAUGGAAAUCUUCUAAACAAACAGUGAUAGCCAGAUCCACUAUGGAAUCUGAGUUUAUAGCUCUAGAUAAAAGUGGUGAAGAGGUUGAGUGGCUACACAACUUCUUAGAGGAUAUUCCAAGAUGGUCAAAGCCUGUGCCAACAAUUUGCAUAUAUUGUGAUAGUCAAUCGGCGAUUGAAAGGGCACAGAACAACAUGUAUAAUGGUAAGUUUAGACAUAUACGUCGUAGACAUAAUACCAUUAGACAACUACUCUCAAUUGGAGUUAUCACUAUUGAUUAUGUAAAGUCAAAGGAUAACAUUGCGGAUCCACUAACCAAAUAGUUAAAUAGAGAGUUAGUUGAGAAAUCAUUGAGAGGAAUGAGACUUAAGCCCUUGAAUGGAUAAGUUAAUACAAAGGAAAACCUAACCUAGUUGACUGGAGAUCCCAAGAUCUAGGUUCAAAGGGACAACCUAAUUGUAAAGACUUGAUAGAAUCACUGUGGGGGAUAUUACCUCCUGUCCAUUCCUGUGAUGCGACAAUGAUGCCCGUAAAGAUGGAGGAUAAGCAAUAGGCUUUUAAUGAUUCUUAUGUGUCGAAAAUUGAGCGAAGUAAUGCGAGUUACUUGUAAUAAGAAAUCACCUAUGUGAGAGAGAAGUGUGGCUGCUUCUAAGGGAAUUGUGUGGGGCACAAUUCUUGUGAACUCUCACAGAACCAGGCAUAUGUUCAUGGCCAAAAUGAACAUAAUAAUGAGAACUGAAAUGUGUUAGGAAGAAUCCUUUGUGAAGUGUAUCAUCGUUUACAUAAACGGUAGAACAGUUCAAGGACAUCGCAUCUACUGGUCAGCUAGUAAAGUAAAUAUGCUUUCACAAGCGAAGGUUCAAAGGGUAACACCUACCUAUCGUAUGCAGGUUUCAACUGUUGAACUAUAUCAACAAGUCGUCAUGUGUCACAUUCAUAAGUCGCUCUCAAUUUUCAUUCAUGUGGGGGGGAUUGUUGGAAAAAUUGGCCAACUUUGGCACGAGUUUUGAGUGGGACCCGGUUGUUCAAUUUGGAAGAUGAAAGUUGAUUUGUGUUCUCCUCCGUGAGUACAUUGAAAUCAUAUACUUACUUGCCAAAGUUGAUGCUCAGGUGAUGAGAAAUUGAAGCUCAAAGUGUGCCACUCAAAAGGGAGUUUAUGUAGGAAAAAUGAAUUUGUCCCACAUAGGAAAAAGAUGAGGAACUCCAAAGGUCAUUGCCAUUAAUAGUAGCCUAGUCUAUAAAUAGUGGCUCAUUUUCCUCAUUUCAACACACAAAAAAAGCAAAAGUUUUCAAGUUUAGAAUACACUGGAAAUUUAUUUGCAUGGAGUUCUCUCUUAGUGGUGGUGUAGUUCAGGUAUUAGUUCAGUUCGCUGGAGUAGCUUCUGCGGUGCUCGGAAUCGACUGAUUUUACUGUUGUAUUAUGGGAAACGGACGCUCAUUUUAAACCUCAAGCACGGACGGUGAGAGGGCGAAUCUGUUUUAAGGAAACUGUGUGUAACACAGGUCUCAAGUUAAAAUUCUACGUUUCAGUUGUUUAAUUCAUGCAGUUUUUCGUAUUAAAUUUACAGUCCAUGCUUCAUGAAUUUAUGAUAUAUUGUUCGUAUGCUUCAUGAAUUUAUGAUAUAUUGUUCGUAUGCUUCAUGAAUUUUAAAUUCUAUUGGAACAAAAGUUACUUGUUGGAAAUAAAACUUUCAAUGAUCUGGUAAAAAUUCGAUGUACGGUUGUUUGAAUUUUGUUGAUUUGCAUAGUUGCAAAAUUGAAAGGCUUUGUCAAGAAAACCUAAACUGUAAGAAGGGCUUGAGAUUUAAGCGGUCCGGUUGUGACCCCCUCCUCAUCUGGGAGUCUUUAAUUGCGCAUUAUUCAAAUUGAUAAGACGAAAGACAAUAUUUUCCGAUUUUAUCCACAUACACUAAAUUUCCUAUACCAGGUAGUGACACUUCUAAGCUCUCAACAUUUUAAAUUGAUGGCGUAUCUAGUGUUUUCGGUGUCAAGCUUAGGGACCAAACCCAUCUAUUCAUAUAGCCAAAACUCCUAUCAAGUUAUAGCUUAGGUUACCCUUCAAUUGAUAGUGUUGUACCAUCAAUUGCCUAUGGAGAAAUAUAGACGGGUAGAAACUGUUAUAACAAAUUCUUUAAAACUUAUUUUUUACCAUAUGUUUUCUCAAUAAAAAAAUUUAACACAUAAAUCCGUAACUUUUCCUCCAUUUUCUAAUCAUAUAUUCUCCAAAAUAAUCACUUUUUACAAAAUCUAUUAUCAAAAAAUUUACGUCAAACAAGCCCUAAAUCUUGAAAUUUUGUCUUAAAAUGUCAUUCUUGUUAAGAAUAAUACGUCAAAUCUCAAUAUAUUUUUAUUGUUGUCAGAUUUAACGGUGGAAUUGUACCAUAAAGAUUCUUGUGCAUUUUGUAGGAAAAUUAGCUGCAGAUAUCUUUCAAGAGUAGCAAUUAAAAUGUAGAAAGUAAGAAGACUCAUCGAUCGACGGCUGAUAAAGUAAAAACUUUAAUUUUUGAGGUUUUUUAUGAUUUCAAUAAAAAUCCUCCAUAAUUGCUUUCAAUUGCUAUUUUUGUACCGGCUAGUUUGACAAAAAGUAAUCAAUACUAAUUGUGAACCUCCCACAUAAAUUUCACGUUUUUACCACUCAGCUACCUAAAUUUAAUUAUUUCCGCCAAAUAUUAUAUUUAAUAACUAUUUAAAAUAUUUUAAUGCAUAGAUCACCUUAUAAUACACACUUAUAAAUGCUACAAAUCCAAUAUAUUAGGUUGUUUUGUAGAACUAUCUUCAAAUUAAAGUCUCAAAAUAAAUACGAUAUAUUCUCAAACGUUUUGACUGUUGAGAAACUUAUUUUGACAUCAACGCUAUCCAUGAAAGUUGAGACCAUAUGGUAAAAAGAAUGAAAAUUUGUUGCAGUAAAUAAUUUUAAAUCUCGAAUUUUUCAUCCAACGAGCAAUGUUUCGCGGAUAUCAAUUCACAUAAUAAAGCUUCCAAAGUCAGUAAUCUUUUGUUAAAAUAUUUGCGUAGUAGAGAUUUUUUUUUUCUGAUUAUAUUAUCAUGGAGAAUAUAUAUGAACAAGACGAUGGUCAAAUAAAAAAGUAUACGUAAUCAUCAAAAAAUAAAUAUAAAUAAUAAUUUUACCCGAGAUUUGAUGUAUUUAUAUAAGAAGAACAUGUAAAUAUUUUGACUUCAUAUUUCAAACAUGGAUGCGUCUAUGCAUUCAAGCUAAAGCAAUGACUUGCCCACUAUUUUGAUUAGAAACUGUUAUAUUUGAAUCAAGAGCGGAAAUCAUCAACCUCACAAUUAACCAUGGAAAACAAGAUUUUUGACAAAUGCCGAACUUCUUUUUCUCAUUCUCAUCUCUUUCUUUCCGAACCCUAUUGUUGAAAUUGUGAAAGACAUUAUGUGUUACAUGAUAUAAUAUUGUCACAUGGGAACUUGUAAUGCAAUAACUUGCCAUGGAACAUGUUGUUCAUUUGACCAUGAUAAUAAUGUCAAAUUUGUUAGGAAUGUGUUUUUCAAACUUGUCGCUCAAUAAACCAACUAGCAUUGAUGGGGUGUAGGACCUCAAUAGGUCACUGAGUUCAACUUUUGAAAAUGUAGGACUCUAAUAGGUCAAUCAGUUGAACUUUUGAACUUAAGUCUUGUCAUUACUUAAAAAAUGUUGAACCCCAAAUCCUGAGAGCCCCACCGUCUCGUCCCUAAAGUUUUGUGAGGGAGGUAAAUCGCGGGAUGUGCCCCAUCAGGUCAGGGAACAAGAGCUGCAUGUACACUGCGCCUAUAAGGAGUCCAAUUCCAUGUCUCAGGAAUCGAAUCUCCACACUGCGAUUGCCAGCAAGGCGUGAGACAACCUCACUCCUGUCUUUUGCACCACUAGACUAUGCCCCGGGGUACAAGUCUUGUCAUUACUUAUAUAAACUUUUGCUAGUGUCCUGCAUUUGAUUAAAAGACAUGCAAGUGAGGGAGCGGUAGAAGACACAAGUUAAGUGAGAGGGCUCAACAAAGCAAAGUCAGGGUUAAUUUGGAUAGUGAAAAUAAAUUUAUGAAAAUUUUGAAUUUUGACAAUGUUCACUCAUUAUACAAGUUCAUGGCAAAUCAUCAAUGACAUCCUUGUCUAUGCUCUAAAUAAGAGAGACACAAGAAGCAUUAGACUGUAGUACUAUUUAGAUGCUCACUUGAAUCGUACGUAAAAAUCAACCAAGUGAAAUUUGGUUGACUCGACUCAUCUUUUUGGGGAAUGUGGUCAUGAUGGGGGAUAUAUUUAUGCAAAUACUCUUUCAUAGUUACAGUAUUAAGGUCUGUACGUUAUCUAUUACAAUUUCCAGUAGGUUAUAGAAAUUUAUAAGAAAGAGAUACAAUUUGGAGGAAUAGACAAAUAUAGCACUAAAAUGCGGCAACUUAUGUUCUGUACAUAUUUUUGUGAACUUUCAAUUGGCAGCUAAUUUCCACGGACGGCUAUUCGAACAAAACAAAACAAAACAAGUGAAAAUCACACACCACACAUGAUUUUUAACUUUUCAAUUCAAAAAUCAGGCGAUAAUUUAAAUUCUUAAUAAUAAUAAUAUUAUUAUAAAAUUAAAUUAAUCAAUACAUACCCACCCUACCCAAUUUUACCAUCCAAGCGUAAAUCAUUAUUCUCUCUCUUCUUCCUCUAUCUAUCAUUCCCCUUCCCUAUUCUCACUUACAUUUUCAUUUUCCCUAGCAUUGCUCAGUGAUGAUGAUCCGAUCUGCUUCUUAGUUGGAGCUAUGAAGUGAUUUUUGUUGAUGGUUGUUCGUGUUUUGCAAAUGGUGAUGAUGGUGGUGCAAGUGAUCAUGAUGGUCUUCCUGACGAUUGUGGUGCUAGCAACUGUGGUGCAGAUGGCAAUGCUACUGGCAGUGGUGGUGUUGUACCGACAGUGGUGGUGAGGUGGCACGACAUUGGUGUCGAUGGUGGAUUGGGGUUUGGGAUAGGGUAGGUUGGAUGAAGAGAGUUUGUGACCAAUUAUUUGAAUAAAUGUGACUAAUAAAUUAAUUUGUUAUCAAUAAAUAAUAUGUAAUCGAUAAAAAAGAUAAUUUGUGAUCAAUAAAUAAUAUGUGCCUAAAAAAUGUGAAAUUGCAAGUAAAUUUAUAAUCCCGACUCAGAAUUUGUUUAGUUGUACCCAAAUAAUUUGAUAAUUUGUGAUAGAGAAAUAACACGUGACUACUUAAUUUGAUAAUUAAUGAUUGUGAAAUAAAUUGUGAUAUAUAAAGUUUACUAUUUAUGAUCCAAAAAUAAUGCAUGACCAUUAAUUUGAGAAUUUAUGAUCGAUAAAUAAAUUCUGAUGUUUAAAAUUCUGAUUUGUGGUUGAAAAAUAAUGCGGGCCCAAUUAAUUUGAUAAUUUGUAACAGAUAAAUAAGUUGUGAUCUAUAAGUACGUAAUUGUGAUAAUAAACUAUAUAAUGUUGUGACCUUAAUAAUUUAAUUAGUAAAUUUUUUAUUAUUUAUUUAAUUAAUAAAAUUUAAUUAUGAACCGAUUUUUGAAUUUUGAAAUUAUAUUUUGCAACUACCUUAAAUAUGUAUUGUUAAAUGAGACAAAAAAAAAAAAAAAAUUCAAAAGAUGUCUAUUUAAUUAUUGAAAAAAAUAUAUAAAUAUAUGUUUAACAAUCUCUAAAAAUGUGUCCCCUUGUCCUUCCUUUUGUUAAGAUAAAUUUCCAAAUGGUGUGUGAUCACAUGAUUGAGUCCUUAAUAGUAUUGUGGAAGUAUGAGCCAGCCCCAUGUGGACUCUGGAGGCUUUGAACUCAUCAAAAUGCUCUUUGUCUCAGAGAUAAUCAGAGACUUUGAGAGAUCCCCUCGUGCGCCUCACGCUCAUCCUCCACCCCUACAGUAUCUUUGACCAUACACAAAUAUAUUAUUUUUGAGAAAUGAUUUAAUAAGCACUGGUGCUCAUCUCAUACACACAUAUUAAUUUAUUGAUGGAUAAUAAAUUUAAUUCAAAUGUUAGAAUUCACAAAAUCUUUAUUCAUCAAUAAAUUAAUAUGACACAUCACCACUGCUUAGUAUAAGAUGAGUAUCGGUGCUUAUUAGAUCAUUUCUCUAUUAUAUAUAUAUAUAUAUACUCGUACACAUAUACAUAUAUGUGUAGAUGUACAUACUUACAUGUAUAAGAAUGUAUAUCAAGAGAGGACCCUAGGUUAGGUGGGAUCAUCUACUGAGUUUAAGCUCUUAUGAUGAUGAACAAAUCAUUAAAAGUCUAGCUUGAGAAUCGAUAAAUUUACAUGUCAAGUUGUGCUAUGGAUAAACAUCUUCAGCGAUGGUGAAAAAAUGAUGGACAAACACAUAUGAGAAGAAAUCGAAUGUCGUGGAAUUAAAAUUCGCUACUUCUCUUCUAGCAUGAAGAAAUCAAGAUUCAUAAAUUCUCAAAAGUCAAAGUCAAAUUGAUGAAAGUAUUAGUAGAGAGGAGAGUUCGACCAAAUAUCAAAAUUCCUACAAUCAUAAAAGUGGAAGUUGAAUCAAUGAAAGUAUUAGUAGACAACGAGAAUUUGAUGCCCAAAUAUCAAGAUUUGUAUAACAUAGAAUUCGAAGUUGAUUCAAUGAGAGUAUUAGUAGAGAAUGAGAAUCAAUAUUCGAACAAUCUUAAAAGUCGAAGUUGAAUUAAUGAAAGUACUCGCAAAGAAUAAGAGUUCGACCACCAAAUACUCGAUCAAGACUUCAAUUGUAAAAAAGUUUGAAAUUUUAAAUCUAUUUAUCUUAAAAUAUUAGGUAUGUAUUCAAAAUUAUUCAAUGCUACACAAUUCAACAACAAGAGAGCGUGGAUUAAACAAUCAAAAUAAAAAAUUAUUUGCAUUAAAAAAAUUUAGAAUCUAGUUUUUUAAAGUGAAGAACAUGCGUGCAAGUCCAAGGAACUAGACAAAUUUGUUCACGUAUACAUAUAAAUAUAUGUGGUAGUCGGUCCAUUGGAUCCUUUGCACGUGAGAUUCAUUACUCCAAUGGUAAAAAUGCCAACGUCACUCCAUUUGUCACAUGGAAAUGGACACUUUCCUCUUGUAUUUUACAAGGUUAUCUUGAAUUUAAUGAAUAAUAAACUUCAAUUUUGGAAUUAACAAGAGCUAGAUUUGUAUAUUAGACGAAAAAUUACUAACUAUUGUAUUGUAAAUUAACCUAUUUAAUCAGUAUUAUUUAGUUUAACGUACCAAAUAUUUAUUCAUAAUUAUUUAAAAAAAAGGAUAAUUAUCCAAAACCUUUUAAAAAAAUGUGAACAAAUUAAAAUUAUUAGUACUUCGAUUCUAAUAUAAAGGUUUCUUUUAUUGUUAUUACUAGUGAAUUUCAUUUGCUAUAAAAAAAAAAUGAAAGAAGUGGCAAAGGGAUACCCCAGUCAUUUUGUAUUUCGAACUAGAUAAUCUUUUUAAAUAAAAUUAUUUCAAGAAUUUACGUAAUUCAAUGUUAGAAAUGCAAAUUUUUAAAGGAAAAAAAUUCAUAUAAAUUGUUAAUGUCGAAACAAAAAUUGAAAUUUUAGAUUUUAAAUUGUAAAGAAUUGACUGUAGGCUUUUAAAUUUAUUGAGAUAAUAACCCAAAUAAUCACUGAUCUUUGUAAAAAGUUUUCACAGAAUUACUGAACUUUAAAAAUCAUCCAAAUCAUCACUGAACUUUGUAAAAGGUUUUCACAGGAUCAUUGAACCUUAAAAAUCACCUUGUUCAGUAAUCUCGUGGAAACAUUUUGUAAAUUUCAGUGAUGAUUUGGAUAAUUUUUAAAGUUCAGUAACCCCUUGACAACUUUUCGUAAAGUUCAAUGAUCAUUUGGGCUAUUAUCUCAAAUUUAUUUCAUAGAGAAAAGUUGUCAAUAUUUUUGGAAAAUUUUACUGUAUAAUAUAUUUUUGCUUUUGUUAGAUUCAUUUUUUUCGUUAAAUGUUUUUUUUUUUUAAUUCUUUUUUCUCGUUAGAUGCCUUCUGUUCGAAUUCUUCAUGAACUAAUGGAGAUAAUACUUAAACUUGAGAAUUGAGAUUUGAACUUACAAUUUCCAUUUCCUCUUAUAUAAUGUUGUAUCGUAUCGUUUAAAAGUUUAAAUUUUAUAAAGUCUAUGAAUAUACGUAAAGUUGAUGGUAGGUUAAGAGGGCUGAGAUAGUCGAGCUCCAAGAUUACCCCAUGGUUAAAGGUACAAGAAAAAGGUGCCCUCAAAAUUGGGAAUGAGAAUUAAAAAUAAAUUAGCCCAUUAAUGUCCCUAUUUAGUAGUGCUCAAUGACUUGUAUUUGUCUGUGAAAUUAGCUUAUAGCCAACAGUGUUCCAUUAUUUAAGCACAGUUUUCCAGUAGUGGGAGUGGUUUUUGGAUUGUUGUCAUCUUUAAAUCCCAGAAACCGAGUUUCCUCGUACUUGUCUUGUCUAUGUACAUAAUUGAUGCAAUUCAUUUGGAAAUGUUUUUGAACGACGAAGAGACGUUCAAAAUAUAACGUUUAAAUAAAUACACUUAUUUUCUUUCUAGUAACUUAAACUUUCUAUAUAUAUAUAUUCUUCCCGAGUUCCCAAUAUUUUGUGUUUUCUUUUCUUUUCUUUUCAAUUUUUUCUUUUGCAUUCCAUUUUCUGCUAUCUUAAUUUUUUGGAAUAUUUCAUGCUUUUUUUUUUUUCUUUUUUUCUUUUUCCAUUUCUUUAUAAUGGUUUUCUUGUAUGCAUGGAAAUGACUUAGUUUGAAAUAAGAGUGCGUUUGAUUGCCUAUAUUUUUCAUGGAAAAUGUAUUUUUUCUACUCAAAUUCCUACUUUUGUGUUAUUUGAUUGCUAUUUUUUUCAUGAAAAUAUUUUCUCACUUUUAGUCACAUGACCAUAUUUUUCUCAAAAUCAAAGAAAAUAUUUUCUUUAGAAAGAGUAGGAUUUUAUUUUCCACGAAAUUCACUCUCUCUUAUUUAUCCACUCUCUUUCAUUAAUCCACUAAUGAAAAAUGAACAAAUAUAAUAUUUUCUAGGUUGAAAAUUAAACCAAUCAAAUACAUUUAAUUAACAAUUUCCAUACAAAUAAAUUCUAGGCAAUUGGAUUAUCUAGAAUUUAUUUUCUUUCAAUGCUAAUUCCAUGCUUGCAAUCAAACUCACCCUAAGUUCUACAAAACCUAUUUGCAUCAUAAUCCUAGCUAGGGAAGAAAAGAAUAUUUAAACUCAACAUGUUGUUAAUGAUUACAAGAGCAUGAAUAAGUCAAAAUGAAUGAAAAUUUGGUUCAUAAGAGUGCUAUUUGUAUGUAUAGACUACAUUAUUUUUUAUCCUCAGUGCAUUCUUACCUACCCAUGAUAUUAUUGUCUUUUUAUGAGUAUAUUUUCAGGCCAAAAAAAUUGUUCUUAUCUUGGAGGUUUGAGAUCAAUGUUUAGACUAUAGUGCUUUUAUGAGACGAAUUAUGAAAUUUUUAUUUCAUCAAUUUUUUUAAAUCAUACAAAAUUUUCAGAGUUCUUGAAUCUCCUUCAAGAGAGCGAUACACCGUUUCAUUAAAAUUUAUUGUUUAAAUAUUAAAAGUUGGUGGUGG
Molecule: long non-coding RNA, 39337 nt
Filed under: Olea europaea (common olive)
Lineage: Eukaryota; Viridiplantae; Streptophyta; Magnoliopsida; Lamiales; Oleaceae
Description: long non-coding RNA (OEUR_LNC014928)
Source: RNAcentral